This 73-nucleotide transfer RNA is filed under the name Anaerolineae bacterium. RNAcentral's name for it is "tRNA-Gly". It matches the Rfam family "tRNA". Rfam says of the family: Transfer RNA (tRNA) molecules are approximately 80 nucleotides in length. Their secondary structure includes four short double-helical elements and three loops (D, anti-codon, and T loops). Further hydrogen bonds mediate the characteristic L-shaped molecular structure. tRNAs have two regions of fundamental functional importance: the anti-codon, which is responsible for specific mRNA codon recognition, and the 3' end, to which the tRNAs corresponding amino acid is attached (by aminoacyl-tRNA synthetases). tRNAs cope with the degeneracy of the genetic code in two manners: having more than one tRNA (with a specific anti-codon) for a particular amino acid; and 'wobble' base-pairing, i.e. permitting non-standard base-pairing at the 3rd anti-codon position. The record is from RNAcentral. Lineage: Bacteria; Bacillati; Chloroflexota; Anaerolineae.
GCGGGUAUAGUUCAGUGGUAGAACGGUUGCUUCCCAAGCAACAUGUCAGCGGUUCGAGUCCGCUUACCCGCUC